Molecule: ribosomal RNA, 463 nt
Filed under: uncultured Mycobacteriaceae bacterium
Lineage: Bacteria; Bacillati; Actinomycetota; Actinomycetes; Mycobacteriales; Mycobacteriaceae
Description: bacterial SSU rRNA
Rfam family: Bacterial small subunit ribosomal RNA
Source: RNAcentral
GACGAACGCUGGCGGCGUGCUUAACACAUGCAAGUCGAACGGAAAGGCCCUUCGGGGUGCUCGAGUGGCGAACGGGUGAGUAACACGUGGGUGAUCUGCCCUGCACUUUGGGAUAAGCCUGGGAAACUGGGUCUAAUACCGAAUAGGACUCCGGCCUUCAUGGGUUGGGGUGGAAAGCUUUUGCGGUGUGGGAUGGGCCCGCGGCCUAUCAGCUUGUUGGUGGGGUAAUGGCCUACCAAGGCGACGACGGGUAGCCGGCCUGAGAGGGUGACCGGCCACACUGGGACUGAGAUACGGCCCAGACUCCUACGGGAGGCAGCAGUGGGGAAUAUUGCACAAUGGGCGCAAGCCUGNUNCAGCGACGCCGCGUGAGGGAUGACGGCCUUCGGGUUGUAAACCUCUUUCAGCACAGACGAAGCGCAAGUGNCNNUAUGUGCAGAAGAAGGACCGGCCAACUACGUGC